CCCGUCCUAUUCGGGCUCCCGCCUCUGUUCAGGACACUGGGUCCCCUAGGAGCCUCCCCAGGCUUAAUGAUUGUCCAGAAGGCGGCUAUAAAGGGAGCCUGGGAGGCUGGGUGGAGGAGGGAGCAGAAAAAACCCAACUCAGCAGAUCUGGGAACUGUGAGAGCGGCAAGCAGGAACUGUGGUCAGAGGCUGUGCGUCUUGGCUGGUAGGGCCUGCUCUUUUCUACCAUGGCAGCCCAGGGCUAUGGCUAUUAUCGCACUGUGAUCUUCUCAGCCAUGUUUGGGGGCUACAGCCUGUAUUACUUCAAUCGCAAGACCUUCUCCUUUGUCAUGCCAUCAUUGGUGGAAGAGAUCCCUUUGGACAAGGAUGAUUUGGGGUUCAUCACCAGCAGCCAGUCGGCAGCUUAUGCUAUCAGCAAGUUUGUCAGUGGGGUGCUGUCUGACCAGAUGAGUGCUCGCUGGCUCUUCUCUUCUGGGCUGCUCCUGGUUGGCCUGGUCAACAUAUUCUUUUCCUGGAGCUCCACAGUACCUGUCUUUGCUGCCCUCUGGUUCCUUAAUGGCCUGGCCCAGGGGCUGGGCUGGCCCCCAUGUGGGAAGGUCCUGCGGAAGUGGUUUGAGCCAUCUCAGUUUGGCACUUGGUGGGCCAUCCUGUCAACCAGCAUGAACCUGGCUGGAGGGCUGGGCCCUAUCCUGGCAACCAUCCUUGCCCAGAGCUACAGCUGGCGCAGCACGCUGGCCCUGUCUGGGGCACUGUGUGUGGUUGUCUCCUUCCUCUGUCUCCUGCUCAUCCACAAUGAACCUGCUGAUGUUGGACUCCGCAACCUGGACCCCAUGCCCUCUAAGGGCAAGAAGGGCUCCUUGAAGGAGGAGAGCACCCUACAGGAGCUGCUGCUGUCCCCUUACCUGUGGGUGCUCUCCACUGGUUACCUUGUGGUGUUUGGAGUAAAGACCUGCUGUACUGACUGGGGCCAGUUCUUCCUUAUCCAGGAGAAAGGACAGUCAGCCCUUGUAGGUAGCUCCUACAUGAGUGCCCUGGAAGUUGGGGGCCUUGUAGGCAGCAUCGCAGCUGGCUACCUGUCAGACCGGGCCAUGGCAAAGGCGGGACUGUCCAACUACGGGAACCCUCGCCAUGGCCUGUUGCUGUUCAUGAUGGCUGGCAUGACAGUGUCCAUGUACCUCUUCCGGGUAACAGUGACCAGUGACUCCCCCAAGCUCUGGAUCCUGGUAUUGGGAGCUGUAUUUGGUUUCUCCUCGUAUGGCCCCAUUGCCCUGUUUGGAGUCAUAGCCAACGAGAGUGCCCCUCCCAACUUGUGUGGCACCUCCCACGCCAUUGUGGGACUCAUGGCCAAUGUGGGCGGCUUUCUGGCUGGGCUGCCCUUCAGCACCAUUGCCAAGCACUACAGUUGGAGCACAGCCUUCUGGGUGGCUGAAGUGAUUUGUGCGGCCAGCACAGCUGCCUUCUUCCUCCUACGAAACAUCCGCACCAAGAUGGGCCGAGUGUCCAAGAAGGCUGAGUGAAGAGAGUCCAGGUUCCGGAGCACCAUCCCACGGUGGCCUUCCCCCUGCACGCUCUGCGGGGAGAAAAGGAGGGGCCUGCCUGGCUAGCCCUGAACCUUUCACUUUCCAUUUCUGCGCCUUUUCUCUCACCCGGGUGGCGCUGGAAGUUAUCAGUGGCUAGUGAGGUCCCAGCUCCCUGAUCCUAUGCUCUAUUUAAAAGAUAACCUUUGGCCUUAGACUCCGUUAGCUCCUAUUUCCUGCCUUCAGACAAACAGGAAACUUCUGCAGUCAGGAAGGCUCCUGUACCCUUCUUCUUUUCCUAGGCCCUGUCCUGCCCGCAUCCUACCCCAUCCCCACCUGAAGUGAGGCUAUCCCUGCAGCUGCAGGGCACUAAGGACCCUUGACUUCUGCUGGGCCCUAAGUCCUCGCAGCAGCGGGCGACUGCUGUUGCCAAUACCUCAGACUCCAGGGAAAGAGAGGAGGCCAUCAUUCUCACUGUACCACUAGGCGCAGCUGGAUAUAGGUGGGAAGAAAAGGUGACUU
RNAcentral lists this small RNA (2039 nucleotides) under Pan troglodytes (chimpanzee). RNAcentral's name for it is "processed transcript". The record is from RNAcentral. Lineage: Eukaryota; Metazoa; Chordata; Mammalia; Primates; Hominidae.